GUGCUAUCCAGCAGUGAGAUAUUUGCCUAGCAGGGGGCCUCACUUCAAACACAUCACCCGAACACUGUUCCUCGGGGUCUGAUUUGGUUUUCCUGCCUCUGAACAAUCCGCCAUUUGAGCUCUGUUUGGUAACGACUCAAAGAUGCAGCUUCAAACAUACCUUUGUACACACUCUUCAGAAAAGGUUCCGAGUAGAACCUAAUUUUGGAAGCUAGCAUACUUAGCUUAAGCGUCCAGUGAACCCUUGGUUUCCAUGCUAAAUCUUUUUUUUAAUAGUGUAUGUAUUAAAAUGUCUUCUCUAUACGUGGAACCUGUCGGGCAUUUGAACCUUUAGCUUAACAUCUUUGCUACUUUUUUGCUUUUAAAAAAAAUGCUUCUUCAAGGAUUCUUUAGGGGUUUAUUGGAUGAUCGAGGGUUCUUAGCCCACUAAAAGGAUUCUGCUUGGAAGCCUGUCUCACUGGAAGACGCUCGUACGGUUAAAAAAUGUCCGAAAGUAUACCGCUGGGACAAUGUCAUGGUCACGGACGCGACGUUUGAACUUCAGACAGCGUGUCUGUCCGGUCAUGUGACCUUUUUGGAGAAGAAUAUAGUGAGAAUAGAGUGAAUAUAGUGAGGCUGUGAGAUGAUCAAUCACAGUAAUUAAAGUGUGUUACUAUAACAUGAGGUUGUUAUUGCAACGGUCCCCAAAGAAAACCCCCAAAAUUCCAACAUGGCCGCCAUAACCAAGCUUCACCCUGACAUGGAUCUGCUGUCUUGUUGUCUCAGGCUGGUAGCAUUUAUUUAUUGAUUUUUUACACUGCUUGUAGUUUAAUUUUCCACUGAGGACGUGUGUAACGUCAGGUUUAUGUUGAAGUGUGAAAAUGUCUACGCGUCAGAGUAUAAACGUCACCCAAACAUCAGCUAACACGACUUAACCUUUGACCUUGUAGAGGUCAGAGUACACACAAACGUCCUGUUUUGAUCAAGAACACAUGAGACUCCGGCUAUCUUUCUGAAUCUGCAGCCGGCGUGUGUGUGUGUGUGUGUGUGUGUGUGUCUUAUGUUCAGACGUGACGGCGUCAGCGAGAGGAAAACACAGACCUCUGACUAACAUUUCAGAGAGAGACGGCAGCUGCUGCUGAGCCGUGACACCUCCGCAGUGUUUACCUCAGAGAGAAGAAGAUUCUCGACUGGUUCACAACUAAAUCUUUAAAAUACAUCUGUCCUCGUCCACGCUGCCUUUCCAUCCACCGGAAAAGACAGAGAAAUAACGGAUGAAAGAGAGAGAGCCAUUAAGAUGGAUAUUAAGGACUUGUCGCAGCUCUGGAGACAGAAUGGAGGUCUGGAUUGUGAUCUGAUGUCACAGAGAUUUUCAGAGCUCUGUAUCACUGAGUAACAGCACAGACGCCACUUUAAAUCAUCAGCUAGACAUGUGGAGACAGGAGACCCGUCCAGGGUGUCCCCCGCCUUGUGCCCGGUGUUCCCUGGGGUAGUCUCCAGGUUCCCCGCGACCCUGAAGGAAGGAUAAGCGGU
Molecule: long non-coding RNA, 1512 nt
Organism: Ictalurus punctatus (channel catfish)
Lineage: Eukaryota; Metazoa; Chordata; Actinopteri; Siluriformes; Ictaluridae
Source: Ensembl